UCAAGCAAUAAGGGCACAGGGCGGAUGCCUUGGCACUAAGAGCCGAAGAAAGACGUGAUAAGCUGCGAUAAGCUUCGGGGAGGAGCAAAUAUCCUUUGAUCCGGAGAUCUCUGAAUGGGGAAACCCGGCAGAGCACACCUCUGUCAUCCAUACGCCAAUCCAUAACGUAUGGAAGGGAACCCGGGGAACUGAAACAUCUAAGUACCCGGAGGAAAAGAAAGAAAACUCGAUUCUGCAAGUAGCGGCGAGCGAACGCGGAAGAGCCUAAACCGGAAUGCGUGCAUUCCGGGGUUACGGACUGCCUUAAUGAUUCUCUGAAGCUAACAGAACGGUUUUGGGAAAGCCGGCCGAAGAGGGUGAAAGCCCCGUAUGUGAAAGCAGAUGAGACUGAGCAGGAUCCAGAGUACCACGAGACACGAGAAACCUUGUGGGAAGUCAGGGGGACCACCCCCUAAGGCUAAAUACUACUUAGUGACCGAUAGCGCAUAGUACUGUGAAGGAAAGGUGAAAAGGACCCCGGGAGGGGAGUGAAAGAGAACCUGAAACCCUGUGUCUACAAGCUGUGGGAGCACCUUAUGCGUGCAACCGCGUACUUUUUGUAGAACGGUCCGGCGAGUUACGCUUACUGGCAAGGUUAAGUCCUUAAGGGACGGAGCCGUAGGGAAACCAAGUCUUAACAGGGCCUUAAGUCAGUAGGAGUAGACCCGAAACCGGGUGAUCUACCCAUGUCCAGGAUGAAGCUGCCGUAAGAGGCAGUGGAGGUCCGGACCCACAUCCGUUGAAAAGGGUGGGGAUGAGGUGUGGGUAGGGGAGAAAUUCCAAUCGAACCCGGAGAUAGCUGGUUCUCCUCGAAAUAGCUUUAGGGCUAGCCUCGGUCAUGAGUCUUGUGGAGGUAGAGCACUGAAUUUCCUAGGGGGCGUCAAAGCCUACCGAAGAAUAUCAAACUCCGAAUGCCAUGUAGACAGGACCGGGAGUCAGACUGCACGAGAUAAGUUGGGCAGUCAAAAGGGAAAGAGCCCAGACCUUCAGUUAAGGUCCCAAAGUGUACGUUAAGUGGAAAAGGAUGUGGGGUCUCGAAGACAACCAGGAUGUUGGCUCAGAAGCAGCCAUUCAUUCAAAGAGUGCGUAAUAGCUCACUGGUCGAGAGGCCCUGCGCCGAAAAUGUCCGGGGCUGAAACGUACCACCGAAACUAAGGGAUCCGCAAGGAUCGGUAGAGGAGCAUUGCAUGCGGAACGAAGCAGUACCGUAAGGAGCUGUGGACUGCAUGGAAGAGAGAAUGCCGGAAUGAGUAGCGAGAUAAAGGUGGGAAUCCUUUAGGCCGAAUAUCCAAGGUUUCCAGGGUAAAGCUGAUCUGCCCUGGGUAAGUCGGGGCCUAAGGCGAGGACGAGAGUCGUAGCCGAUGGACAACAGGUGGAGAUUCCUGUACUGCGGUAUGACAGAACUGUGGGGACACGUAAGGAAAGCGGAAGCCGGGAAUGGAAAGCCCGGUGCAAGCGGGGUACCAGUCACUCAGGCAAAUCCGGGUGGCAAUGGGAAGCCGUGAUGCGGAGCGAAAUACAAGUAGUGAAGUCCGUGAGCCAUGCGUCAAGAAAAGCCGCUAUUGUUUAUACCGUACCCGUACCGUAAACCGACACAGGUGGAUGAGGAGAGAAUCCUAAGGCCGGCGGAAGAAGCAUUGUCAAGGAACUCGGCAAAAUGACCCCGUAACUUCGGGAGAAGGGGUGCCACUGAGAAGUGGCCGCAGAGAAUAGGCUCAAGCAACUGUUUAGCAAAAACACAGGUCUAUGCGAAACCGAAAGGUGAGGUAUAUGGGCUGACGCCUGCCCGGUGCUGGAAGGUUAAGAGGAGAGGUUAGCGCAAGCGAAGCUUUGAAUUUAAGCCCCAGUAAACGGCGGCCGUAACUAUAACGGUCCUAAGGUAGCGAAAUUCCUUGUCGGGUAAGUUCCGACCCGCACGAAAGGCGUAAUGAUUUGAGCGCUGUCUCGACAAUGCAUCCGGUGAAAUUGAAGUACCAGUGAAGAUGCUGGUUACCUGCGCCAGGACGGAAAGACCCCAUGGAGCUUUACUCCAGUCUGGUACUGGG
RNAcentral lists this ribosomal RNA (2084 nucleotides) under human gut metagenome. RNAcentral describes it as "bacterial LSU rRNA". It matches the Rfam family "Bacterial large subunit ribosomal RNA", at positions 1 to 2121 of the family's 2925-position model. The record is from RNAcentral.